AGAGUUUGAUUAUGGCUCAGGAUGAACGCUAGCUACAGGCUUAACACAUGCAAGUCGAGGGGCAGCAUUGGAGUAGCAAUACUCAGAUGGCGACCGGCGCACGGGUGAGUAACACGUAUCCAACCUGCCGCUUACUCGGGGAUAGCCUUUCGAAAGAAAGAUUAAUACCCGAUGGUAUAAAGAGUUCGCAUGUUCUCUUUAUUAAAGAAUUUCGGUAAGCGAUGGGGAUGCGUUCCAUUAGAUAGUUGGCGGGGUAACGGCCCACCAAGUCUACGAUGGAUAGGGUUCUGAGAGGAAGGUCCCCCACAUUGGAACUGAGACACGGUCCAAACUCCUACGGGAGGCAGCAGUGAGGAAUAUUGGUCAAUGGACGAGAGUCUGAACCAGCCAAGUAGCGUGAAGGAUGACUGCCCUAUGGGUUGUAAACUUCUUUUAUAAGGGAAUAAAGUGAGGGACGUGUCCCUUUUUGUAUGUACCUUAUGAAUAAGGAUCGGCUAACUCCGUGCCAGCAGCAGC
Molecule: ribosomal RNA, 516 nt
Filed under: uncultured bacterium
Lineage: Bacteria
Description: bacterial SSU rRNA
Rfam family: Bacterial small subunit ribosomal RNA
Source: RNAcentral